GAAUGAAUGUAGAGUCGGUUGUCGCUGGUCCCUUCGGGGGCAUGUGCACGCCUUCUCUUUCAUCCACACACACCUGUGCACUUGUGAGACGGAAGCCCUCGGGCGUCCGUCUGCUCUACAUAAACUCAUAUCUAUAAUUUGAAUGUAAUUGAUGUAAUACAUCUUUAAACUAAGUUUCAACAAUGGAUAUCUUGGUUCU
RNAcentral lists this unclassified non-coding RNA (199 nucleotides) under rhizosphere metagenome. RNAcentral describes it as "partial ribosomal RNA internal transcribed spacer region". The record is from RNAcentral.